This 1308-nucleotide ribosomal RNA is filed under the name Heterodera glycines (soybean cyst nematode). RNAcentral describes it as "SSU rRNA". It matches the Rfam family "Eukaryotic small subunit ribosomal RNA", at positions 483 to 1823 of the family's 1831-position model. RNAcentral also lists the same sequence under 1 other name. The record is from RNAcentral. Lineage: Eukaryota; Metazoa; Nematoda; Chromadorea; Rhabditida; Heteroderidae.
AGACCCAUUUCUUAUGAGGCCGGUCAUCGGAAUGGGUACAAUUUAAACCCUUUAACGAGUAUCUAUGAGAGGGCAAGUCUGGUGCCAGCAGCCGCGGUAAUUCCAGCUCUCAAAAUGCAUAGAAUUAUUGCUGCGGUUAAAAAGCUCGUAGUUGGAUCUGUGCUAGCCGUCCGGUGCACACUUUGUGUGUUACUGGUUCGGUUGGCUUUUCUGCCGGUCUCUCCCCGGCGUUGGCCUUUACCGGUCGGCGUCGGUGGGCUGGCGAGUUUACUUUGAACAAAUCAGAGUGCUUCAAACAGGCGUUUCGCUUGAAUGUUCGUGCAUGGAAUAAUAGAAGAGGAUUUCGGUCCGAUUUUAUUGGUUUUGCUGACCGAGAUAAUGGUUAACAGAGACAAACGGGGCCAUUCGUAUUGCUACGUGAGAGGUGAAAUUCUUGGACCGUAGCAAGACGGACUACAGCGAAAGCAUUUGGCAAGAAUGUCUUCAUUAAUCAAGAACGAAAGUCAGAGGUUCGAAGGCGAUCAGAUACCGCCCUAGUUCUGACCGUAAACGAUGCCAACUAGCGAUCCGCCGGCGGAUUUAUUCGCCCUGGUGGGGAGCUUCCCGGAAACGAAAGUCUUCCGGUUCCGGGGGAAGUAUGGUGCAAAGCUGAAACUUAAGGAAUUGACGGAAGGGCACCACCAGGAGUGGAGCCUGCGGCUUAAUUUGACUCAACACGGGGAAACUCACCCGGCCCGGACACCGUAAGGAUUGACAGAUUGAUAGCUUUUUCAUGAUUCGGUGGAUGGUGGUGCAUGGCCGUUCUUAGUUCGUGGAGCGAUUUGUCUGGUUUAUUCCGAUAACGAGCGAGACUCUAGCCUACUAAAUAGUUGGCUCAUUGCUUCUGUGGGCACAACUUCUUAGAGGGAUUUUCGGUGUUCAGCCGCACGAAAUUGAGCAAUAACAGGUCUGUGAUGCCCUUAGAUGUCCGGGGCUGCACGCGCGCUACACUGGCAAAAUCAGCGUGCUUGUCCUUCCCCGAAAGGGGUUGGUAAACCGGUGAAAAUUUGCCGUGAUUGGGAUCGGACAUUGCAAUUAUUGUCCGUGAACGAGGAAUUCCUUGUAGGGGCGAGUCAUCAACUCGCUCUGAAUACGUCCCUGCCCUUUGUACACACCGCCCGUCGCUGCCCGGGACUGAGCCAUUUCGAGAAAUUCGGGGACGGUUAGUGUUCCGGCUUCGGUCGGUAUGCAGACUGGAACCGAUUUAAUCGCAGUGGCUUGAACCGGGCAAAAGUCGUAACAAGGUAGCUGUAGGUGAACCUGCUGCUG